AUGCCUGUUCGAGCGUCAUUACACCACUCAAGCACAGCUUGGUAUUGGGUUCCGCGGACACGCGAGCCUCAAUGACACCGGCCGAGCACCCGACCUCCGAGCGUAGAAGCAUCGUUUCGCUCUCGAGUUAGGACCCGCGCCGUCAAAACCUCUUUCACAAGGUUGACCUCGGAUCAGGUAGGGAUACCCGCUGAACUUAA
This 200-nucleotide unclassified non-coding RNA is filed under the name soil metagenome. RNAcentral describes it as "partial contains internal transcribed spacer 2 and large subunit ribosomal RNA". The record is from RNAcentral.